Molecule: long non-coding RNA, 582 nt
Filed under: Homo sapiens (human)
Lineage: Eukaryota; Metazoa; Chordata; Mammalia; Primates; Hominidae
Description: HSALNT0096367
Source: RNAcentral
CCUGGCAGGAGGUGGCUUGCCUCUGGGCACUGAAGGAUCUGGUGAAGCAACAUCUGCCAGCCAAUGAACACAGCAGAGCAUUGCUCUGAGCAUCAUAGAGGGCAACCAGAAGGGAGAAAUGGCAGAUGCCAACAGAUCUUUGAAAGAACAGAAGAGGGAAGAAACCAAAGGUCAGGGAGAAGCUAAGUGGUGUGGGGCCUUCCCCAUGCCCCACAAGGACCGGCUCCCCUGUUCCCUUAUGUGUGGGGAUUCUUGGCAUACAGAGGGACGUGGGCCACCAGGUUAUAUGUGUGCACAGAUUUGUAGUGUGUGUGUGAUGUGAUUUUGGUAGUUUCUGUGCUUCUACACAAUGCAUGUUUCUGAUAGAACAGGAAAGAAGGGAGAGAGACUUUGGACAAAGGGACAAGCUCUGUAGAAAGAACAUCUUCGAUGCAAGUAAUAAAAAGGCACGCAAUAAUGCUUCUCACAAACAGCCACUAGCAAGCCUGUGCCACUGCCACAGCCAUAAAACACCCACGCCUGCCAUAACCCGUAACCAGUUCUGCACGAUGCACCCGCCCAGCCUGCCUCCCGCAUCGGCUC